GAUUGAAUACCCAGUGAUGCAAACUGAAGUAUGUUGGCCAUUGCCAUUUGUUGGAGAAGAAUCUUCAAAGGACUUCGAGAGCAAAUUUCACCAGCUAGAUAUGUUAAGGGGGCCAUUUGUAACUCCUGCAAGUAGUCCAGAUCAUGAAUCGUCACUGACUGCAACAGAUGUUGGGACAUCAUCAAUAUCAAGCUCAGAUCCAGGGACUUCACCAUUUUUUCUAUCUGGAAUCUAUGGGAGCCAGAAGAAGGAGCAUUUGUUGUUCACUGAAGAAAAUGAAAGUCUUUA
This 288-nucleotide unclassified non-coding RNA is filed under the name Hevea brasiliensis (rubber tree). The record is from RNAcentral. Lineage: Eukaryota; Viridiplantae; Streptophyta; Magnoliopsida; Malpighiales; Euphorbiaceae.